Non-coding RNA from Pelobates cultripes (western spadefoot toad), 202 nucleotides. Lineage: Eukaryota; Metazoa; Chordata; Amphibia; Anura; Pelobatidae. The record is from the annotation of a GenBank genome assembly.
UGAAUGGCUGGUUUCUAUAGCCCAGCCAUUCGAAUGACUCUUUUUCCCGAACAAAUCUGCCGAACGAACGGCCACCCAAGUGAGGAGUGUGCUGCAGGUUAACGAAGUGAUCACCAUUAUAACGUUGUGGUUAACCGCAGACACUUCUCAAUUAAACCGAACUCCGGGUGGUCGUCGUUCGUAUGUCGACCACGAGGCAGCG